RNAcentral lists this ribosomal RNA (419 nucleotides) under Edwardsiella sp. 34HT. RNAcentral's name for it is "bacterial SSU rRNA". It matches the Rfam family "Bacterial small subunit ribosomal RNA", at positions 505 to 922 of the family's 1533-position model. The record is from RNAcentral. Lineage: Bacteria; Pseudomonadati; Pseudomonadota; Gammaproteobacteria; Enterobacterales; Hafniaceae.
GUGCCAGCAGCCGCGGUAAUACGGAGGGUGCAAGCGUUAAUCGGAAUUACUGGGCGUAAAGCGCACGCACGCGGUUUGUUAAUUUGGAUGUGAAAUCCCCGGGCUUAACCUGGGAACUGCAUCCAAGACUGGCAAGCUAGAGUCUCGUAGAGGGAGGUAGAAUUCCAGGUGUAGCGGUGAAAUGCGUAGAGAUCUGGAGGAAUACCGGUGGCGAAGGCGGCCUCCUGGACGAAGACUGACGCUCAGGUGCGAAAGCGUGGGGAGCAAACAGGGAUUAGAUACCCUGGUAGUCCACGCUGUAAACGAUGUCGAUUUGGAGGUUGUGCCCUUGAGGCGUGGCUUCCGAAGCUAACGCGUUAAAUCGACCGCCUGGGGAGUACGGCCGCAAGGUUAAAACUCAAAUGAAUUGACGGGGGCCC